Molecule: non-coding RNA, 5035 nt
Organism: Rattus norvegicus (Norway rat)
Lineage: Eukaryota; Metazoa; Chordata; Mammalia; Rodentia; Muridae
Source: RefSeq, a predicted model, not a curated record
AUCACUGUAUCAGAGGACUGAUACAGGCAAACAGGAGAAAAAAGAGAAUAGUAGGACUUUGUUCUGACUGAAAUGUGAGUUAUAGUUCUACAAAUGCUACAGCAGAGCUUUUAAAGCCACAGAGAUGCUUUAAGACUGCCAUGCAAGCUCUAUCAAGUAUAGUCAUCCAAUUUUGCUUUUCAACAGGUGGUUUUGAGCUUUUACAUCUGUGGUUCUCUGUCCACCUCAGAUGUCUGUCUGUCUCAGGGCUGUCACCCUUUCAUGAGAAUAUAGAAUAUGUUUAACAUCAUGUUAAUUCCAAUUCUUUGUUUUUAAACAAGCAGUUUUCUAGAGAAAAGAAAGAUGGCCAUUUGGGUGUAUUAAGGACAUCUGCACUGCCCCUUUGCAUAAGCCAAGGCAUUCCUGUACUGGGUGGGGUGUGAUAAGAUAAAGAGAGAGUAAAAGAAUGAAGUACUGAUGAAUACUGUUAAAGAUAUACAAACUACAGAAAGAGGGGACCAAAGCCAAAAACAUCAACGCCUGUGAUCAGGCCAGCCAAAACCAUGCGCACAGGUCACAGGGACCUUUAAGGAGCUGCUGUGGUCUGAGCUAAGAGUCUGAAAGGAAUAUGGCUAAAAGGUGAUUUUAUUUGUUUUCUCUUAUAGAAUUGUCCCUUUAAAGCAGAAUCAACAUGUCAGGCUGCUUAAGUGUAGAAUUGUGUAUAAAUGAACAGAAAUAUGGUAAUGACAAAAUUUCUCUGACACCACCAUCUAUCCAAACACUUGAGAGCAGCAAUUCUGUGGAUAAGGGGAGGGGAAUGAGGUGGGUGUUGGGGGUAGGUACAUAUAUGAGCACAGUAUAAAAAUAUACAGGCACGAAAAUGCCAUAGGAAGCCAAUUUUGUACAUUAAUUAAAAGUCACAAAAGUACCACUACGUCCACUGGGGGGCAGUAGUGUGUUGCAGCACUGUGUGGAUUCCCUCUACCCUUGUAGGAUCAAAAGUAUACCCUACGGGUGACAUCUUAAGGUGGCACAAGGUAGGCUGGUUUGGGAGUCCUCAGUAUUUACAGAUUUCACAGAUCAAAUCUGUAAAAAUUUCAAGCCUCUGCCGUGCCUGCAGUAAGACUUGUUUUAAUUUUAAAACAGUGUCUGUGUGUGGUGCAGGCAUGUGUGGUGAACUCGCUGAGUGGCUUCCUCUAUGGCUCUCGCUUUGUAAGAAAGUUUAAGAUUCCAUUUCUUUCUUUUUUUUUUUUUUUUCUUUUUUUCGGACCUGGGGACCGAACCCAGGGCCUUGCGCUUGCUAGGCAAGCGCUCUACCACUGAGCUAAAUCCCCAACCCCAAGAUUCCAUUUCUUUAUCUGAGUAUAAGCAAAGGUGUGCACGUUUGGAGGGCCCUGGAGAGCAAACUCAAGUGGUCAGGUUUAGCAGCGUCUUAGGGCUGAGCAAGCUCACCUCCUCCUCUAACUGUUUCUUCAGACAGGGCUCUUCCUGAGAAGAGCCUCUUCCUGAGAAGAGCUUGCAGUUUUGGCUGGACUGGCUGGCCAAAGAGCCCUCAGGAUUCCCUGACUCCACACUCCCAGGGCUGGGGUUACAGAUACACACCAGCUUUUAUGUGGACACUGGGAAUCUUAACCUGGGCUCCUCACGUUUGCAGAGCACUUUGUUAACUGAGCCAUCGUCCGGGAACCAAGGUUUGUUUUAAAAUCUCAGAGGGGGCCAAACCAAGGAGCCCCCCACGAUCAUCUGUUAAAUGUAAUUAACCUGACGGGUGCUUACACAUCCAUCCCACCUGAUUCCCCGACACUCCAUUUGUACGAAACCUCUUCCCCAGAGACCCUGCGUCAGGGUGAUUUGGGCAAACAGGAGUCCCACAGCCACAUGUAUACGCCUGUGUGAUGGUCAGGACAUGUGAGGCAGAAGAUGGGUCAGAUGCACAGUCUCACAGGCUGACUCCAUUUCCAAGGCUGACUCCAUUUUGGAACCAAAAUCCAUAUUUUUACUUUGACUUUCCCCGCUUCUGGAUUACAAUACAAAUCCAGAAAACCAGUAAGUUUGGGGAUAUAAACGAACAGGAAACGACAAGUAAUCUUUCCUGAUGAAAGGGGUCCUCAAAUGGGGGUGUAGCAUCUUAGCUAUGGUAACUAAUGCCGUGUGGCUUUAUGAGGGGUCAAUGUACUUUAUGUAAAAAGUGUAAGAAGUGAUCAGUAGUCAGUUGUUCCCAUUUAACUGCUAAGAAGGUUUCCUCACAGGCUCAGGGGCACCGACUAAAGAAUCGUAUUCUGUGGCAGAAUGAUGUACAGUUCGCUAGCUCCCCUGCUCCACACAAGGAAACAAACACGGUCAGAGCUAUCUCUACCUGUGGCCAUGAUCCACGAGGCACAAGCCCACACGAGAGUAGCACGGCCUCAGCUUUCCUUCUCUGGGGAAGAGUAAGUGCCGGCUGGCUGUGAACUGGCACGAAGUAUGCAGCCGCACACUGUGAAACACCCGAACACGUAACUAACCAUGCCUGUGCCCCUUCUAAGGACAUCGAGACAGCUGGCUUCAGGCAGGAACUUACAUUGGAGCCUGUUUGGUUGCAGUAAACAUUCAUUACGGCAGACCGCCGUCUCAGAUGACCUACUAAGAUACACUGCUUUCAGAAACGCGAGUGUUCCACAGGCAGCAUACAGGGUGGAUAUUCCAAGGAUUUAGGGAAAGCACAGUCAAGGCCUACAGAAGAUGGGCCUUGUCACAGGCCUCUGCUGCCCCCUGCUGGCCAAGCUGAGGUCUGACAAAAAGGGAAGAAAUGGCCAUGGAGAGAAGUGAAGGAAGUUCACUUCAGCCUCUGCUUAUCCCUGACAGGCUGCUCACCUAUGGACUCUACCCCAUGUUGGCUGGGGCAACAGAAGGCGUUGUACUUACUGCUAUGUGAGUCUUUGUUUUGCUUUGUUUUUUUUGCAAAGGGGCAUGCAUGGCCCCAAGCUUCCACUGAACAGAGAUGAACAGUUAGGUAUGCAUGCACAGUCAUACACAGUGCACACACGGAUACAGUAAGAAAGUCAUUCUCUUAGCAUGUUUUUGGCCAAGUUCCACGUGCUGAAACAAGUGGUGGAGGGAAAGAGUAAAAGGCACCUCAUAAGAACUAGAGGUCAGGGAGAAAGACUGAGUCCUGGAAGACACUGCCAUUUAGCUACGGGAGAAGAGACUCACAAGAGGAGGGACUGGAGAAGCACAGGGAAGGGGAGGAAUCAGAGGGCAGGACGUUCUGACAACUCAGGAGGAGACGUGGCUGAGGACAGGAUGCCACUGAGAACUGACGGGAGGAAGGACGGAGGCAGCGUACCAGCUUCUCCGUGGGCUGCAAGAAGGGAGAAGAGAAAGCAGCCCAGCUCACUGUCACUGGGAGCAGCUGGCAGUCUCCCUCCUGUAACUCAAGCUCCUGCUGAGGCAUCCAUCUGCACCGGGAGGCUGACGGUGUCUGCCUCUGAGAAAGAGCCUUCCUCUGCUUGUGUAAAAAUCCUCCAGUGUCUGCGUUCAUCUCCACAGGCUGUAAACUACUCUGUGUAUAGCCAGAGAGGUGACAGCCAGCGGCGCAGCAUGUCAUGGGGACUGCGUUCUACUGCACAGGGAAACAGGGAAUGACAGUAAAGACCACAGACCCUGGGCUUCCUCUGCUUUAACCCCGUGUUCAUUGAGCUAAGCGGCAAAGGGCUGAAAACACAAGUGUUACAGCCCCAAGUGAACGGUAGAGGUGCAUGCUGCAGCUAAGUGUGAGAGGCUCUCAGUCCCGAAGGCGGCUGAUGUGACCCUGACCCUGGCUUAAGUGAAGCCUUGUGAGAUGCCCCUGUUGCGCUUAACUUUGUUGCUAAGGUGAGGGAAGCUGCUGGACUGGUUUGUUGCUUUAUUUUAUUUUAUUUUAUUUUGCUUUUGGAGACAGGGCCUCACCGCGCAACCUUGGCUGACCUUGAGUUCAAUGUAUAGAGCAGUCUGGCCUUGAGCAAGCCUCAGAGAUCCGUCCCUCUCCCUCUCCCUCUCCCUUAUGAGUGCUAGUUUUAGAGGAGCAUGCCACCACACCUGACACGCUGCUGUGCCUUUGAGCUCUCACUUGUGCGACCUUUCAAAUACAAGGUGGUGGGGACAUUGUUUAUACACUGAGCCUGCACGAAGAAAAGGCAUGACAACCAGAGUGGGUGGACCCCGUGGUUAGAGGUGGUGGGAAGAACCAUGAAUUAAAGACCGUGCCAGGGAUGAGAAGAGAUGAAUUUCUAAGAACUAGCUAUGCCAUGCUUGGAGAGAGAAGGACGGCCUCGAGAAAGCAACAGGGAUGGAAGUCAGACUCCGAGGAUGACUGUAUUAAUUGUUCACAUGCCGCAGGGCCGGUGCCUUCAGGUUUUCUAUUUUGAGAAACCCUGGGGAAGAGUCAGACACCGGAACGUCUAGCAGGGGCACAUGAAGGAGUCACAUGGUGACUGACAGAAGUAAAUUAGGAAGAUGGAGCCUCGGACUAGCAGAUCUCUCCCAUGAGGUUAGGCAGGCCCCGCAGUUAGGCAAGAUGAAUGGAAAGGUCUGGUUUGCGAGUGAAGCAGCCCCAACCUGAUUAAAUCUUACCAUUGUCUACAGAAAUCCCAAGCACACUUGAUAUCUUUCUCACACUGAAAACACAGAAAAAGUCACUUUGUUACUGGAUGCUUUUCCACACCUCACACAUCGGUUCGUGGGCUUAACAUUCUUUUGCAGGCGGAAUGUCAGAAUGUGGGUGCUCGACCAAUUACAUGCACCAAGCAAGAGAGGCAAACGGAUCUGACCCAGGUGUGCCAGGAGGAAAAGAGGGUAAAAUAAAAUCAAUGAAGUGUGCGUGCAUUGAAUUCUCAAAUGUGGGACAACGUCUGGCUACUGGAGCUGCUGGAGUUGCCUGGAGUUUGGGCACUUUGGGUGCUGUAGCUGAUUGGGCUCCACAUUCUGUCACCCCCACUGCUCAGGACUCUCCUCCAAGGAGGGAACUCUUCUUCCUAUUUGUUUUGCUCUGGAAGAAAAAUCAAGUUGGUGGCGUGGUACAGCGUGGCCGGGGUUCUCC